Non-coding RNA from Acanthosepion pharaonis, 105 nucleotides. NCBI's taxonomy places the organism in Eukaryota, Metazoa, Mollusca, Cephalopoda, Sepiida, Sepiidae. The record is from the annotation of a GenBank genome assembly.
CCUACGUUGAAAUAUCGUUUCCCGUACGAUCACCGAAGUUAAGUCGACGUGGAGCCUAGUCACUAUCGAGAUGGGUGACGGCUUGGGAAAACCAAGUGCUGUAAG